This 253-nucleotide ribosomal RNA is filed under the name uncultured bacterium. Its description in RNAcentral is "partial 16S ribosomal RNA". It matches the Rfam family "Bacterial small subunit ribosomal RNA", at positions 524 to 776 of the family's 1533-position model. The record is from RNAcentral.
GACGAACCGUGCGAACGUUGUUCGGAAUCACUGGGCUUAAAGGGCGCGUAGGCGGUUCUCCAAGUCAGGGGUGAAAUCCUGCGGCUUAACCGUAGAAGUGCCUUUGAUACUGGAGAUCUUGAGGGAGGUAGGGGUCCGUGGAACUUCUGGUGGAGCGGUGAAAUGCGUUGAUAUCGUAAGGAACACCCGUGGCGAAAGCGGCUCACUGGGUCUUCUCUGACGCUGAUGCACGAAAGCUAGGGGAGCAAACGGG